CGGGUCACGGGAAAGCCUUUUGCGCAGCUUUGCGUUGAGGCCGCCGCAGCGUUUUGCCCUUGGGCUUCCAUUUUUGUCCUUCCUCCCCCUUAACGACUUUGGGCCUGGUCCUCAAACCGAUCUUCCAUUCAGCCGGAUUUCAUCAGAAUUGCGCGACCUGGGCUCGCUGGACAAGGCCGUCCCGCCAGCCCGUUAUAGGCUCGGUGACCUUGAGCCUCAGGGUCAGUCCACAGCCUGCGAAAGGAGGGGCGAGGCUCAUGCAGGGUGCUACCCGCGUGCUGCGGGAGUGCAGUGUGCAGGAAAUGAUCUUCCCCUCCCCUCUCGCGCUCCGCCUGUGUGAGACCUCUGCGUCUCUUACCCGCAUCCCUACUUAUCUGAUGUUGCACAUCUUUGCUUCAACAAAGCAGCGUGAUGUGCUGUGCCUUGGUUGAAGCUACCGUUGCGCCUUUGUGCCUGACAUGCUUGACUUGGAAGGCGUUUGCUGUGCACCUUGUUCUUGUUGAUAUCUUUGGGGCAUAAUCUCAAAAGUUGGUAUUUUUCCUGAAUGUACUGCUGCUUGAUAAUUCGCACCAUUUCUUCUGUGCAUUCACCCCUUUACUGAACUCGUGUACUUGUACAUCUUUGAAUACUGUGUAUUAUGGCUCCUAAAUUUAUAUUUCCAGCUGAGCAUGCUUCUGAACUGCAUAUUUAAAUAGCCAUUGCCUUAACAUGUCCGUUUAAAUAUUUCAUAGACAUCUUGAAUUCAAAAUAUGCACACAGCCCCUGAUUUGCCUACCCAAAUCUGCUUCUUACAGCCCUUGUCUGUAACUCAUAGCUAUUUCAAUUUUUUAGGUCUACAGUCCUUGUGUCAUCAUACCUGACCCCACAUUUAGUUCGUAAGCAGAUUGAGUCGGAUCUCUCAGGAAAUAUUCCUAGACUGCCCCCCCUUAACCCCUCCUCCACUGCCACCGGAGUAGUCCAAGGCACCCACCUGCCGUGCUGCACUCUAGGGUCCUGCUUCCCUGCUUCACUCCGUUUGCGUCCUUACCACACCUCAGUUUGUAGUCUCCCUCUCAUACAGGCAGUGGGGAUCUUGGACUUGUCUUCAAUAUUUGGUACCUGACUAGGAGGGACCACCUAAACUAAGGCCUGAAAGGGAAGACCCACUCAAGUGGGAAAGAAAGAAGACAAUUUACAAAUAUGGGGACUCCUGAUUGAACACAGAAGGUAAAGCACUUGGUAUUAAAUACCAACAGGCUGUUAAAAAGGCAACUAUGCAAGAUGUUCUUGGACCUCGUUGUUUGCUGAUGGUGGUUAAAAUGAUCCCAGAUUUUAGGCCUGUUUUCUCUAUCUGCACACUGCUGAUCUUUAGCUCUUCUACUGUUCCUCUCAGCAUUGUGAGAGUCCUCAGGGAGUUUUUCCCUGCGACCAGAGACACACGUAGCCUUACUAAUGGACCCACGACCUUGUUGACAUCAUGCUUUCCUUCCCAUUCCUCUACACAUCUCAUUAUUGUUUAGUAAUGUUCCUAUUUCAGUGACCACAUUGAUCAUACUGCAUGAAUAUCCAAAAAAGCUUGUGACAACAAAGCUGUGUGGUUUGUGACAAAUUGCGAGUUAACUCUAUUAAUUUAAAAUAAAUGUCUUGGGGCUGGGGAUUUAGCUCAGUGGCAUAAGCACCUGCCUAGCAAGCAGGCAGUCGUGAGUUCGAUCCCCGGUACCAAUAAAAAGAAAAAAGAAAAAAAAAUUACAUAAAAUAAAUGUCUUAAAUUUGCCUACAUACUUAACAUGAUAAAGUUUGGCAAAAGCAGCCUCCGUACCUAGUAACCUAGCUUGAUAAGCAAACCAACCAACCAACCGAGGUUUCUGCCAGUUGAGUUCCAGCCAACCACAGCUGCCAGCUGGACAGACCAUAUCCCUGUGAGGGAAAAGCCAACGGUAGCCAAUCAGGUUCUUUCUGCACAUCAUUUCCUUUUCGCUGGCUGUAAAAUAGCUUGUACAUGGGAUGGGGUGGGGCACUCUGAACCAUCUGUGGCUUGGAAUGUCAUCCAGCUUUUGAAAGUUCUCCCUGCUCAAAUUUAAACUGAACUCAUCUCCGUUUUUCUUUCAACACAUGCCUCUCCUCUUUGUGGUUGUCAGAUUGAGGGAAUGGACAGUGCAGUGUUCAUAUACAGGUGCCUCAGUGUUCUAUAGCAUGCUCAAUGAAGGCUCUUCCAGUUUUUGGGUUUUUGGGUUUUUUUACUUGAGGCCUUUACUUGGUCUGGAAUCCAGACCUGAAUCUAUGGGCCUGGGCUGGGAACACACGUUAAGUAACAGUUACAAGGCUAUCUGUUUGCUUCCCUGGUGACAAAGGUCAUGGUCCUGAAGGGCUCCUUAUGCCCCCCUUCUCCAUCAUCCAAGAGGCACUAUAGCUCCCUUCAAUUAGACUUCAUAGUUUAUCCAAAAUGGCUCAUAGUUCAAGCAAAACACAAAGCUUAAGCUCUUUUUCAUAGGCUUCUCAGACCCGAGGGAAAAAGGCUGACUUCACAAAUUCCCCAGACAGGUUCAAACAAGCGGAAGUCCAAGGGAGCUUCAGCUCAGACUCAAGCUGAAACUGUGCUAUCCUGAUGCACAGGAAAAUCUUCCAAUGAACUCAGCAGUGACAAACCUUCAAAUCACACAAGGUCACCCCCACACCCUUGGCAAUAAUAACAGCUCCAGCAGCCACAGACUGUGAGGUGGCAGAGCAGUUUAGAGGCCACUAAAAGAUACAGAAGCCAACCACCCCACAGGAUACUCUCUCAAGAGCAGGACUAAGUUUGGACUUCAGCAGCUCUGUUGAAAUUCCUCCAGGAUACUCCUGAAGCUGAGAUCUCAGGUUGCUUGUCUGUAUACUAGGGUAUAGACUGGCAGCACAUAUGCAUUAUUAAAAUAGUUGCUAUGUUCA
This is a long non-coding RNA of Cavia porcellus (domestic guinea pig), 2904 nucleotides long. RefSeq lists it as uncharacterized. The transcript is spliced from 2 exons. Lineage: Eukaryota; Metazoa; Chordata; Mammalia; Rodentia; Caviidae. The record is from RefSeq and is a predicted model, not a curated record.